RNAcentral lists this microRNA precursor (94 nucleotides) under Cajanus cajan (pigeon pea). Its description in RNAcentral is "miRNA gene-KK1_047212". The record is from RNAcentral. Lineage: Eukaryota; Viridiplantae; Streptophyta; Magnoliopsida; Fabales; Fabaceae.
GUACUUUUAAGAUCUGUCAUUUUAUGACCGAUCUUAAAAUUUAUGUCGGAUACAACUUUUAAGAUCGGUCAUAAAAUAACGAUCUUAAAAGUAC